UUUAUAAAUUCUAGUUAUUUAAUAUUUGGUUUUGAGAUAUAAAAAUUUUAGUAAGUUUUUUGAAUUAAAUUUUAUACUAUAGGAGAUUAGUACUGUAAAGGAAAGUUGAAAUAUUUGAAAUAUUUUAUAUGAUAAAAGAACUUUUUAUUAAGGUACCUUUUGUAUCAGGGAUUAUCAAAAUUAUAUUAUAAAUAUAUAUUCUCGAAAAUAAAAGAUCUAAAUAUAUUUUUUAGUUUUUGUAGUAAAAAAAUUAAUUAAUUAUGUUUCGGAGAGAAAUUUUAUUCGUUUUUAUUGUUAUCUAGUAGCUUUUUAAAUAAAUUCAGUUUAAUUAUACAAGAAUUUUAUUUUUUUAAAGUAAAUUUUUAAGUAUAAUUUAAUUUUUUUGGGAUGAGCUAAAAAAAUUUUUAGAAAUAUUAAUAAGUUAUUUUUUUAUUUUAGGCUUGGAAUUAGCCAUAAAAUUUUGUUAUUAAUAAUUAAUUGAUGUAAAAGAUUUAUAGAUUAUUCUAGUUAAAAAAGAGCUUUAAAUUUAAAUUUUAAAUGUUAAGAAAAAAUGAUAGUAUAAGUAGAUUUUUAUUUUAGGUUAAAAAAUUGAAUUAAAUCAAUUUUGUUUAAUUUUAAAGUUUUAAAAGAAGAAUUCGGCAAAAAUUAUUUUCGAAUGUUUAACAAAAACAUUUCUUUCUGUAAAAGAAGGUAAGGCCUGCUCACUGAUAAUAUUAAAGAGCCGCAGUAUUUUGACUGUGCUAAGGUAGCAUAAUCAUUUGUCUUUUAAUUGAGGACUGGUAUGAAUGGUUUAACGAAAAAUAGUCUUUUUUUUUUAUAUAAAUUGAAUUUAAAUUUUUAGUGAAAAUGCUAAAAUAAUUCAAAAAGACGAGAAGACCCCUUAGAGUUUUAUAUUAAACUUAUUUUUAUUUAUUAUUUUUUUAAGGUAUAAAAUAAGGUAAAUAUUUUGUUGGGGCGACAUUAAGAUAAAAUUAACUCUUAUUAUUUUAAACCUUUAUAAAGGGAAUUAGUGAUCCUUUAAAAAGAGAUUAAAAGAAAAAAUUACCUAGGGGAUAACAGCGUAAUCUUUUUUGAGAGUUCAAAUCGACAAAAAGGUUUGCGACCUCGAUGUUGGACUAAAAUUAAUACAUGGUGUAGUAGCUAUGUUUUAGGGUCUGUUCGACCCGUAAUAUUUUACAUGAUCUGAGUUCAGACCGGCGUAAGCCAGGUUGGUUUCUAUCUUUUGAAGAUUAUAUUUUAACUUAGUACGAAAGGAUUGGUUAAGAGUAAUACUUAUAAUAAUAAUGAGGCUAAAU
This 1295-nucleotide ribosomal RNA is filed under the name Altiverruca navicula. RNAcentral describes it as "16S ribosomal RNA". The stretch from base 837 to 1229 matches the Rfam family "Bacterial large subunit ribosomal RNA", at positions 2049 to 2651 of the family's 2925-position model. Lineage: Eukaryota; Metazoa; Arthropoda; Thecostraca; Verrucomorpha; Verrucidae. The record is from RNAcentral.